This 229-nucleotide ribosomal RNA is filed under the name Escherichia coli O69:H11 str. 06-3325. RNAcentral's name for it is "partial 23S ribosomal RNA". It matches the Rfam family "Bacterial large subunit ribosomal RNA", at positions 2720 to 2925 of the family's 2925-position model. The record is from RNAcentral. Lineage: Bacteria; Pseudomonadati; Pseudomonadota; Gammaproteobacteria; Enterobacterales; Enterobacteriaceae.
GUUGUCAUGCCAAUGGCACUGCCCGGUAGCUAAAUGCGGAAGAGAUAAGUGCUGAAAGCAUCUAAGCACGAAACUUGCCCCGAGAUGAGUUCUCCCUGACUCCUUGAGAGUCCUGAAGGAACGUUGAAGACGACGACGUUGAUAGGCCGGGUGUGUAAGCGCAGCGAUGCGUUGAGCUAACCGGUACUAAUGAACCGUGAGGCUUAACCUUACAACGCCGAAGGUGUUU